This 107-nucleotide small nuclear RNA is filed under the name Mus spicilegus (steppe mouse). Lineage: Eukaryota; Metazoa; Chordata; Mammalia; Rodentia; Muridae. The record is from RNAcentral.
GUGCUCGCUUUGGCAGCACAUAUACUAAAAUUGGAAUGAUACAGAGAAGAUUAGCAUGGCCCCUGCACAAGGAUGACAUGCAAAUUCGUGAAGCGUUCCAUAUUUUU